Molecule: small nuclear RNA, 18 nt
Filed under: Arabidopsis thaliana (thale cress)
Lineage: Eukaryota; Viridiplantae; Streptophyta; Magnoliopsida; Brassicales; Brassicaceae
Description: snRNA_08552
Source: RNAcentral
CGAACAGUCAGCUCAGAA